AUUAGUCUUUUAAUUGAAGACUUGUAUGAAUGGUUGGACAAGAAACAAACUGUCUAUAAUAUAUAAUUUGAAGUUAACUUUUAAGUGAAAAGGCUUAAAUAAAUUAAAGGGACGAUAAGACCCUGUAAAAGUUAAUAUUUUUUAGUUGAUUUUGUGAAAUUGUUUGUAAAACAUUUUUUAACUAUAUAAAUAUUUAGUUGGGGCGACUAGAGUAUAAUUUGUAACUGCUAAUUAUUAUAAAUCAAAUAUUUUUGUUUUUAUGAUCCUAAUUAUUGAUUAAAAGAUUAAGUUACUUCAGGGAUAACAGCGUUAUUUAUUUUGAGAGUUCAUAUCGACAAAAAAGUUUGCGACCUCGAUGUUGAAUUAAAAAUUCUUUAUAAUGUAGCAGUUAUAAAAAGAAGGUCUGUUCGACCUUUAAAUUUUUA
Molecule: ribosomal RNA, 425 nt
Filed under: Enoplometopus holthuisi
Lineage: Eukaryota; Metazoa; Arthropoda; Malacostraca; Decapoda; Enoplometopidae
Also listed under: 1 other name
Description: partial large subunit ribosomal RNA
Rfam family: Bacterial large subunit ribosomal RNA (bases 300-425)
Source: RNAcentral